RNAcentral lists this ribosomal RNA (485 nucleotides) under uncultured bacterium. RNAcentral's name for it is "bacterial SSU rRNA". It matches the Rfam family "Bacterial small subunit ribosomal RNA", at positions 30 to 507 of the family's 1533-position model. The record is from RNAcentral.
UUGAACGCUGGCGGCAUGCUUUACACAUGCAAGUCGAACGGCAGCACGGGUGCUUGCACCUGGUGGCGAGUGGCGGACGGGUGAGUAAUACAUCGGAACGUGUCCAGAAGAGGGGGAUAACGCAUCGAAAGAUGUGCUAAUACCGCAUAUGCUCUGAGGAGGAAAGUAGGGGAUCGAAAGACCUUGCGCUUUUGGAGCGGCCGAUGUCUGAUUAGCUAGUUGGUGGGGUAAGGGCCUACCAAGGCGACGAUCAGUAGUUGGUCUGAGAGGACGGCCAGCCACACUGGGACUGAGACACGGCCCAGACUCCUACGGGAGGCAGCAGUGGGGAAUUUUGGACAAUGGGCGCAAGCCUGAUCCAGCAAUGCCGCGUGAGUGAAGAAGGCCUUCGGGUUGUAAAGCUCUUUCAGUCGAGAAGAAAAGGCUGCAGUGAAUAACUGUAGUUUAUGACGGUAUCGACAGAAGAAGCACCGGCUAACUACGUG